This 443-nucleotide ribosomal RNA is filed under the name Tilletia microtuberculata. RNAcentral's name for it is "partial 28S ribosomal RNA". It matches the Rfam family "Eukaryotic large subunit ribosomal RNA", at positions 1 to 439 of the family's 3401-position model. Lineage: Eukaryota; Fungi; Basidiomycota; Exobasidiomycetes; Tilletiales; Tilletiaceae. The record is from RNAcentral.
UGACCUCAAAUCAGGUAGGACUACCCGCUGAACUUAAGCAUAUCAAUAAGCGGAGGAGAAAAAACUAACAAGGAUUCCCCUAGUAACGGCGAGUGAAGCGGGAUGAGCUCAAAUUUAAAAGCUGGUAUCUUUCGAUGCCCGCGUUGUAAUCUCGAGAAGUGUUAUCUGUGAUGGGUCAUGUACAAGUUCCUUGGAAUAGGACAUCAGAGAGGGUGAGAAUCCCGUACUUGACAUGAAUUCCAUUGCUUUGUGAUAUACUCUCUAUGAGUCGAGUUGUUUGGGAAUGCAGCUCAAAAUGGGUGGUAAAUUCCAUCUAAGGCUAAAUAUUGGGGAGAGACCGAUAGCGAACAAGUACCGUGAGGGAAAGAUGAAAAGCACUUUGGAAAGAGAGUUAAACAGUACGUGAAAUUGUCAAAAGGGAAGCGCUUGAGGUUAGAUAUGCA